CCUACGGGUGGCUGCAGUGAGGAAUAUUGGUCAAUGGGCGGGAGCCUGAACCAGCCAAGUCGCGUGAGGGAAGACGGUCCUAUGGAUUGUAAACCUCUUUAGUCGGGGAGCAAUGCCGGGCACGCGUGCCCGGAGGGAGAUUACCCGCAGAAUAAGCAUCGGCUAACUCCGUGCCAGCAGCCGCGGUAAUACGGAGGAUGCGAGCGUUAUCCGGAUUUAUGGGGUUUAAGGGGUGCGUAGGCGGAUUUUUAAGUCAGGGGUAAAAUGUCCGGGCUCAACCCGGGCCGGCCGUUGAAACUGGCGAGCUGGAGUGGGAGAGAAGUAUGCGGAAUGCGGGGUGUAGCGGUGAAAUGCAUAGAUAUCACGCAGAACCCCGAUUGCGAAGGCAGCAUACCGGCGCCAGACUGACGCUGAGGCACGAAAGCGUGGGGAUCGAACAGGAUUAGAUACCCUAGUAGUC
This 460-nucleotide ribosomal RNA is filed under the name uncultured bacterium. RNAcentral's name for it is "partial 16S ribosomal RNA". It matches the Rfam family "Bacterial small subunit ribosomal RNA", at positions 338 to 795 of the family's 1533-position model. The record is from RNAcentral.